RNAcentral lists this transfer RNA (72 nucleotides) under Camelus bactrianus (Bactrian camel). It matches the Rfam family "tRNA". Rfam says of the family: Transfer RNA (tRNA) molecules are approximately 80 nucleotides in length. Their secondary structure includes four short double-helical elements and three loops (D, anti-codon, and T loops). RNAcentral also lists the same sequence under 2 other names. The record is from Rfam by way of RNAcentral. Lineage: Eukaryota; Metazoa; Chordata; Mammalia; Artiodactyla; Camelidae.
GAGGGUAUAACUCAAGUGGUAGAGUACAUGCUUAGCAUGCACAAAAUCCUGGGUUCAACCCCAAUACCUCCU